This 690-nucleotide ribosomal RNA is filed under the name uncultured Acidobacteriota bacterium. Its description in RNAcentral is "bacterial SSU rRNA". It matches the Rfam family "Bacterial small subunit ribosomal RNA", at positions 15 to 737 of the family's 1533-position model. The record is from RNAcentral. Lineage: Bacteria; Pseudomonadati; Acidobacteriota.
GAUCCUGGCUCAGAAUCAACGCUGGCGGCGUGCCUAACACAUGCAAGUCGAACGAGAAAGUGGAGCAAUCCAUGAGUAAAGUGGCGCACGGGUGAGUAACACGUGACUAACCUACCCUGGAGUGGGGGAUAACUGAGGGAAACCUUAGCUAAUACCGCAUAACACCUACGGGUCAAAGGAGCAAUUCGCUUCAGGAGGGGGUCGCGGCAGAUUAGCUAGUUGGCGGGGUAAUGGCCCACCAAGGCAGUGAUCUGUAUCCGGCCUGAGAGGGCGCACGGACACACUGGAACUGAAACACGGUCCAGACUCCUACGGGAGGCAGCAGUGGGGAAUUUUGCGCAAUGGGGGAAACCCUGACGCAGCAACGCCGCGUGGAGGAUGAAGCCCUUCGGGACGUGAACUCCUUUCGAUCGGGACGAUUAUGACGGUACCGAGAGAAGAAGCCCCGGCUAACUUCGUGCCAGCAGCCGCGGUAAUACGAGGGGGGCGAGCGUUGUUCGGAAUUAUUGGGCGUAAAGGGUGCGUAGGCGGUUUGGUAAGUCUUAUGUGAAAUCUACAGGCUCAACUUGUAGUCUGCAUGAGAAACUGCCGGGCUUGAGUAUGGGAGAGGUGAGUGGAAUUCCUGGUGUAGCGGUGAAAUGCGUAGAUAUCAGGAGGAACACCUGUGGCGAAAGCGGCUCACUGGACCAU